CCUACGGGUGGCAGCAGUAGGGAAUAUUGCUCAAUGGGGGAAACCCUGAAGCAGCAACGCCGCGUGGAGGAUGAAUGUUUUAUGAUUGUAAACUCCUUUUGUGAGAGAAGAUAAUGACGGUAUCUCACGAAUAAGCACCGGCUAACUCCGUGCCAGCAGCCGCGGUAAGACGGAGGGUGCAAGCGUUACUCGGAAUCACUGGGCGUAAAGGGUGCGCUGGCGGGCUUGUAAUUCAGAUGUGAAAUCCUGUAGCUUAACUACAGAACUGCAUUUGAAUCUAUGGGUCUAGAGUGUGGGAGAGGUAGGUGGAAUUCUUGGUGUAGGGGUGAAAUGCGUAGAUAUCAAGAAGAAUACUCAUUGCGAAGGCGACCUACUGGAACAUUACUGACGCUCAUGCACGAAAGCGUGGGGAGCAAACAGGAUUAGAUACCCGUGUAGUC
Molecule: ribosomal RNA, 440 nt
Filed under: uncultured bacterium
Lineage: Bacteria
Description: partial 16S ribosomal RNA
Rfam family: Bacterial small subunit ribosomal RNA
Source: RNAcentral